CGUUAAGGAACUCGGCAAAUUGACCCCGUAACUUAGGGAUAAGGGGUGCCUUUAGAGGUGGAGGGACUUGCUCCCCGAGCUUUUGAAGGUUGCAACAAAGAGGCUGGUGCGACUGUUUAACAAAAACACAGCUCUAUGCUAACUCGCAAGAGGAUGUAUAUGGAGUGACACGUGACCAAUGCCAAAAGGUCAAGGGGAGAGGUUAGCGCAAGCGAAGCUUUGAACUGAAGCCCUGGUGAAUGUCGGCCGUAACUAUAACGGUCCUAAGGUAGCGAAAUUCCUUGUCGGGUAAGUUCCGACCUGCACGAAUCGUGUAACGAUGCCAGCACUGUCUCAACGUGGAUCUCGGCGAAGUUGUAAUUCCGGUGAAAAUGCCGGAUACCUGCGGAAGGACGGAAAGACCCCAUGAACCUUUACUGUAAUCUGAUAUUGGUAUUUGAUUGCUCUUGUGUAGCAUAGGUGGGAGGCUGCGAAACCGCUACGCCAGUACCGGUGGAGCCACAGGUGAAAUACCACCCUGGUGCAAUUAGAUAUCUAACGAUGUCCCGUGAAUCCGGGUUUCGGACCGUGUCAGAGGGUCAGUUUGACUGGGGCGGUUUCCUCCUAAAUUGUAACGGAGGAGCCCGAAGGUACACUCAGCACGGUUGGCAAUCGUGUGUAGAGCGUAAGGGUAGAAGUGUGCUUUACUGUAAGACCGACAGGUCGAGCAGUUGCGAAAGCAGGGCCUAGUGAUCCAGCGAUGGAAUGUGGAAUCGUCGUUGCUCAACGGAUAAAAGGUACUCUGGGGAUAACAGGCUGAUAGCGCCCAAGCGUCCAUAGCGACGGCGCUGUUUGGCACCUCGAUGUCGACUCAUCACAUCCUGGGGCUGUAGAAGGUCCCAAGGGUUCGGCUGUUCGCCGAUUAAAGUGGUACGCGAGUUGGGUUCAGAACGUCGUGAGACAGUUCGGUCCUUAUCCUCCGCAGGCGCAGGAUAUUUGAUGGGAUCAUUCCUUAGUACGAGAGGACCGGGAAUGACUGACCUCUGGUGUUCCGGUUGUGGCGUCAGCUGCAUUGCCGGGUAGCUAUGUCGGGAACGGAUAAGCGCUGAAAGCAUCUAAGCGCCAAGCCCACCCAAAGACGAGAUAUCCCUUCCCGUAAGGGACUGAAGGCCGGUCGAAGACUACGACCUCGAUAGGACGGAAAUGUAAGUGCAGCAAUGUAUUCAGUUUACCGUUACUAAUCGGCCGUGAGGCUUAACCAC
This 1241-nucleotide ribosomal RNA is filed under the name bioreactor sludge metagenome. RNAcentral describes it as "bacterial LSU rRNA". It matches the Rfam family "Bacterial large subunit ribosomal RNA", at positions 1703 to 2925 of the family's 2925-position model. The record is from RNAcentral.